This is an RNA transcript of Tympanuchus pallidicinctus (lesser prairie-chicken), 1358 nucleotides long. It is a transcript of the gene named eukaryotic translation initiation factor 3 subunit F, with no coding region annotated. Lineage: Eukaryota; Metazoa; Chordata; Aves; Galliformes; Phasianidae. The record is from RefSeq and is a predicted model, not a curated record. The transcript is spliced from 9 exons.
CUUUCUCUUCGCAAAAUGGCGGCUCCGGCUCCGGCUGUGGCCGCGGCCCCUCCCGCGGCCGCCCCGGCUCCCAGCCCGACCGCCGCUCCCUCUACACCGACGACGGGCGCGCCCCCCUCUGCCGCGCCCCCUCCGCCCGCCGCCCCAGCGGCACCGCCACCCUCCGCGCCGCUGUCCGCCGCGCUCUCGGGUCCCUUCCCCGGCGGCCGCGUGGUGCGGCUGCACCCGGUCGUGCUCGCCUCCAUCGUAGACAGCUUCGAGCGGCGCAACGAGGGCGCGGCGCGGGUCAUCGGGACGCUGUUGGGCACUGUGGACAAGCACUCGGUGGAGGUCACUAACUGCUUCUCUGUCCCGCACAACGAGUCCGAGGAUGAGGUGGCUGUUGAUAUGGAGUUUGCCAAAAACAUGUACGAGUUGCACAAAAAGGUGUCUCCCAGCGAGAUCAUCUUGGGCUGGUAUGCAACAGGUCACGACAUCACAGAACAUUCUGUCCUGAUCCACGAGUAUUACAGCCGGGAAGCCCACAAUCCAAUCCACCUCACUGUGGACACAAGUCUCCAGAAUUCACGCAUGAGCAUUAAAGCCUACGUCAGUGCCCCAAUGGGAGUCCCUGGUAAAACUAUGGGCGUGAUGUUCACACCACUGACAGUGAAGUACGUUUAUUACGACACAGAGCGGAUAGGAGUGGAUCUUAUAAUGAAGACCUGCUUUAGCCCUAAUCGAGUGAUUGGCUUGUCCAGUGACUUACAGCAGGUGGGGUCAGCCUCAGCCAGGAUUCAGGACACCCUGGGUAUGGUGCUACAGUAUGCAGAGGAUGUAUUGUCUGGCAAAGUGGCUGCUGACAACACCGUGGGGCGUUUUCUGAUGGAUCUUAUUAACCAGGUGCCAAAGAUUUCACCAGAGGACUUUGAGACCAUGUUGAACAGCAAUAUUAAUGACCUUCUGAUGGUAACCUACUUGGCAAACCUCACGCAGUCACAGAUUGCUCUCAAUGAAAAACUUCUGAGUUUGUAAAGAAACUUCUGCCACCUUACACUUCAAAGAGCCUCAAGAGUGAGCAGAUACACACUUUUCAUGGUGAUUGAGCAGAUACACACUUUUCAUGGUGAUGUUACAAAUUCCCUUGGACCUUAACUUAAUUACCUAAACAAUUUGGUUUACAUCUUCAUUUCUGCUUUCCUGGAAAAUCCCUGACGUGGUUUAGGAAAUGAAUAGGAACUCCUGCAGUUUGGAUGAGCCCGGUAUUUUAAAAUGGAAUAAGUGAAUCUUUUGUCUUCUGGAUUUAUCUGUUUGUGUAACAAAAUACAGCUUUAAUGUAAGAAAUUAUUUGAAAUAAAGUUCAAUUGUAUUGGCAAGAA